UACGUAGGGGGCGAGCGUUGUCCGGAUUUACUGGGCGUAAAGAGCGCGUAGGCGGUCCUUUAAGUUGGCUGUGAAAGGUCCCGGCUCAACUGGGAUAGGUCGGCCAAAACUGGGGGGCUUGAGGGCGGUAGAGGAAGGUGGAAUUCCGGGUGUAGUGGUGAAAUGCGUAGAGAUCCGGAGGAACACCAGUGGCGAAGGCGGCCUUCUGGGCCGUACCUGACGCUGAGGCGCGAAAGCGUGGGGAGCGAACUGA
This 253-nucleotide ribosomal RNA is filed under the name uncultured bacterium. Its description in RNAcentral is "partial 16S ribosomal RNA". It matches the Rfam family "Bacterial small subunit ribosomal RNA", at positions 524 to 776 of the family's 1533-position model. The record is from RNAcentral.